Non-coding RNA from Pangasianodon gigas (Mekong giant catfish), 74 nucleotides. NCBI's taxonomy places the organism in Eukaryota, Metazoa, Chordata, Actinopteri, Siluriformes, Pangasiidae. The record is from the annotation of a GenBank genome assembly.
GGCAGUGGUGGCUGAACGGUUAAGGCUCUGGGUUUCUGCUUGGAAGGUUGGGGGUUCAAGCCCCCGUGCUGCCA